CAAAAGUUUAAACCACGAAGUGCUCAUUCUCUAACUGACGCAGGCACUCACGUAUAGCAGCAUCUCUCAACCCACUUCUCGUAACUUCCGUUAUAAAACCCUAAAAACAAUCUUUUCUUCCUCUUUUCCUUCACCUUCGUUAUUAUUCCAUUUUUACAAAACCCUAUUUUCUCUUCCCUCUAAAAUCUCAACUCGUUUACCUUUUCAAUUAGCUUCUAUUAUUCGAUUGAAAAAUGGAAGCUAAUGGUUUUGACGAUGUUAAGAUUCCUCUGUUACAGUUACCAGAAGAAGAAAACGUUGCCGUUAGAACCGUUGCGUUACAAAUAAGCGACAUCGAGUGCGCUUCCUGUGUUAAUUCUAUUGAAUCCGCUGUUAGGAAUCUAAACGGCGUUAAAAGUAUAGCUGUUUCGUCAAUUGAUGGCCGAGCCGUCGUCAAAUUUGUUCCCAAACUCAUAACUGCAAGACGAAUAAAAGAAAGCAUAGAAGAGAGUGGAUUUAAGGUUAAUGAGGUUCAUGAUCAUGACCAAGAUAUAUCAGUGUGCCGAAUCAGGAUUAAAGGAAUGGCAUGCACAAGUUGCUCUGAGUCUGUUGAGAGAACACUUCAAAUGAUUGAUGGAGUGAAAAGGGCAAUAGUUGGUCUAGCUUUAGAGGAGGCAAAAGUGCAUUAUGAUCCUAGCCUUGCCGAUCCCGAAAAGAUAAUUGAAGCUAUAGAAGAUGCGGGCUUUGGAGCAGAACUUAUUAGCUCUGGGAAUGACGCGAAUAAAGUUCAUCUAAAAGUUGAAGGGAUUGAUUCUGAAGAAGAUGCUAAUGUGUUAGUGUCUUCUCUUGAAUUAGCUGGAGGUGUGAAUCGUGUUGAAAUGGAUUUUUCAGAUUAUAUAGUUACCGUUAGCUAUGAUCCGGACAUUACAGGUCCGAGAACUCUAAUUCAUUGUGUUCAGGAAGCUAGCCGUGGCUCCAAGAUGUACCAAGCAACCUUGUAUUCUCCUUCAGGACAAAGAGAAAGGGAUAAGGUGAAUGAAAUUCGCACGUAUAGGGAUCAGUUUUUGUUCAGCUGCUUGUUUUCUGUACCUGUGUUUGUGUUUGCUAUGGUGCUUCCCAUGCUUCCUCCAUAUGGCAACUGGUUGAACUAUAAGAUCCAUAAUAUGCUUACUCUUGGGUUGUUUUUAAGAUGGAUCCUUUGCACGCCUGUGCAGUUCAUAGUUGGAAAAAGGUUCUAUGUGGGAUCAUAUCAUGCACUGAGGAGAAGAUCUGCUAACAUGGAUGUGCUGGUUGCGUUAGGCACUAAUGCUGCUUAUUUUUACUCGUUAUAUAUUGUAAUAAAAGCACUGACUUCAGAUACAUUUGAAGGACAAGAUUUCUUUGAGACCAGUUCCAUGUUGAUAUCCUUUAUCCUAUUAGGAAAAUAUUUGGAGAUUGUGGCCAAAGGGAAAACAUCAGAUGCUUUAGGAAAGCUGACACAACUUGUUCCAGAUAAAGCAUAUUUAGUGGAAAUUGAUACUGAUGCAAAUAUCAUCACAGAGACAGAAAUUGACACUCAACUUAUACAAAAGAAUGACAUAAUUAAGAUUGUGCCUGGGGCUAAAAUUCCCAUUGAUGGUAUUGUUAUAAAAGGGCAAAGCUAUGCAAAUGAAAGUAUGAUCACUGGAGAGGCAAGACCCAUUGCCAAAAGUCCAGGAGACAAGGUUAUCAGUGGAACGAUCAAUGAGAAUGGCUGCUUGUUGGUUAAGGCUACACAUGUUGGAUCAGACACUGCCCUUUCUCAGAUUGUUCAAAUUGUAGAAGCUGCUCAACUUGCCAAAGCACCAGUUCAAAAACUUGCAGACCAUAUUUCAAGGGUUUUUGUUCCAAUAGUGGUUGUUGCAGCAUUCAUAACUUGGUUGGGGUGGUUCAUUCCUGGAGAAACUGGUUUUUACCCUAAACACUGGAUACCAAAAGGAAUGGAUGCAUUUGAGCUUGCUUUGCAGUUUGCUAUUUCUGUGUUAGUUGUUGCUUGUCCUUGUGCUCUGGGACUAGCUACACCAACUGCAGUCAUGGUUGCAUCAGGCAUAGGCGCUUCCCAAGGAGUGCUUAUCAAGGGUGGGGAUGCACUAGAGAAGGCACACAAGGUAAAAACUAUUGUAUUUGAUAAGACUGGGACACUAACAAUUGGGAAGCCAACGGUAGUUAGUGCAGUGCUGUUUUCUGGAUUUUCUAUGGAGGUGUUAUGUGACAUGGCAAUUUCUAUCGAGGCAAGUAGCGAGCACCCGUUAGCUAAAGCUGUUGUGGCACACGCAAAGAAGCUGCGCAAAAAUUUCGGUUCUUGCACUGAGGAAGUGCCCGAUGUUGUUGAUUUUGAAGUACACAUGGGAGCCGGGGUAAGUGGAAAAGUUGGUGAUAGAACAGUUUUAGUUGGAAACAGGAGGCUCAUGCAUGCUUGUAACGUUCAAAUAUCUUCCGAGGCUGAGAAGUACAUCUCUGAAAAUGAGAUUCUGGCUAGAACUUGUGUUUUAGUUUCAAUUGAUGGAAAGAUUGCUGGAGCAUUCUCUGUGACUGAUCCUGUAAAGCCAGAGGCUAAACGUGUUAUAUCAUUUCUCCACUCCAUGGGCAUCACAAGUGUCAUCGUGACUGGGGAUAACCAUGCUACUGCAAUUGCUAUUGCAAAUGAAGUUGGUAUUGAUAUGGUCUUUGCUGAGACGGAUCCAGUAGGCAAAGCUGAUAAGGUGAAAGAAUUACAGAUGAAGGGAAUGACUGUGGCAAUGGUAGGUGAUGGAAUAAACGACUCUCCGGCUUUGGUUGCUGCUGAUGUUGGCAUGGCAAUUGGUGCUGGAACUGACGUAGCUAUAGAAGCAGCUGAUAUAGUUCUUGUAAAAAGCAACUUGGAAGAUGUAAUUACAGCCAUAGAUCUAUCUAGAAAGACCAUGUCUCGUAUCAGGCUGAACUACAUUUGGGCUCUUGGCUACAACAUUUUGGGCAUGCCAGUUGCUGCUGGUGUUUUGUACCCAUUUACUGGAAUCAGAUUGCCACCAUGGCUUGCUGGUGCUUGCAUGGCUGCAUCUUCCCUUAGUGUGGUUUCUUCGUCUCUUUUGCUGCAGUUCUAUAAAAAACCUUUGCAUGUAGAAUCCAUUAAAUAGCCUAUUUUUGCCUUUUAGUUCGACUUGACAAUCCACAUAUUGGUCAUUUUAUAAGGAAUUGUCCUCCAGCCGUUAUCAAUAAGUUCAUUAUCAUUUUUCUGCAGUUUACAAAAUAAGCAAUGAGCCUAUAAAGUUGGAAAAUUAUCAGUUAUGCAUUACGCUGACAAGAGGAAAUGUUUAGUGGUCUGUGUUGGAUUGGAUUUUAUUCUUCUUUUAUAUGCAGAAACAAAGAGUAUGGAGCAUAGUCAUAGACCCUGCUCAUUUUUUCAAUCAAAGAGUAGCUGCCAUGAGAAUGUUAGGACCUUACGGGGAACCAAACGAUUUUGAUAUUUUGGUAAACUCAAAAUGGAACUGAAAAUUUCAUUUUUAGAGACAGCUUUGCGUUGUUGCGUAUAAAUUGAACUGCAUGAGUCUGUGUUGUUGCAUGUAAAUUGAAUAGUCUAACUUAAUAUAACUUGUGGUACAACUUAAUCUCACCAACA
Cicer arietinum (chickpea) is the source of this 3592-nucleotide RNA transcript. It is a transcript of the gene named copper-transporting ATPase HMA4-like, with no coding region annotated. Lineage: Eukaryota; Viridiplantae; Streptophyta; Magnoliopsida; Fabales; Fabaceae. The record is from RefSeq and is a predicted model, not a curated record.